GGUAGCUAGCGAGGGCUUUGAGACGGCCGAGAGUUUGAGCGCCAAGGCUCUCUCUCCCCAGGGGACUCUGCAACCUGACUAGGUGCUCCUUCCCUGAGGUGUGUGCUCGACAAAGGUUGCUGAAAAAGUUCACGUUGAAAUUUUUUUUGAUGAUAAUAUCGUGUUACUCAUUUCCUUUGUUUCUUAGCAUAGUAACAUUCCAGGGAGCUGCCCGGGGAAGCUUAACGCUCGAUGCGGAGUCCUUAUUUUCUAGGCCAAAGAGAUGUCAUGAUUUUGAGGGGAGCUUUUUCUGCUAUGGAUAUGAGACCGUGCUUGGAAGAAAUGAUUUAUUGCAAAUUUACUAUGAUGGACAAUCUGUCUUUCAGGGUGGUAGGAAUGUAUCAUGGUGGGAGAGUCAUGGCAGCAGGCAGCUGGAACAGGACACUAAGUAAGAACACCUUCAACUACAAGCAGAAGUCAAGGAGAACUGAAAGUGACAACUGGAACCUUGAGAGCCAAGGGAGAUUGUGGAGAGGAUGUGAGCAGAUGGCCGCUGAGGAUAGCUGACCGGGUGGGUGGGCUGGAACCUAGGCCAGGACCUGCCACCUGAGGAUUGUGCCUGCGAUGUCCAUAUGAUUGUGAACAGCUAAACAGGGAGCUCUGCUCUGUUGAAAAUCAUAAAGUUGAAAAUGAAAAGAGAUAAAACCUUAAGCACAGAAGAAUAUUUUGUCUUUGGUGAAAAGAACAACUUAAGAUUAAUUUUAUUUUUAUGCUGUAUAUGCGUGUGGGUAUGUGCAUGCAAAUUUGGGUGACUCCAAAGGUCAGAGCAUCAAAUCACUUGGAGCUGGGAUUAUAGGCAAAUGAAAGCUGCCAAGCAUAGGAAUCUAACGAAUGUCCUCUGUAUGAGCAGAGAGUACUCCUUACUGCAGAGCCAUGUUUCCAGCUUAAGGAGGGCUUUUAGAAAGAAGAUUGAUAGAGAAUACAUACUUAAUAGUUUGAUGUACUAAAAAGGUUAAUUUUUAUUCACUAUAGACACUAGAAAUAAUAUUUACAAUUUAUAUAAUGCAUGUGAUUAUAGAACUAGAAGUAACAAUAUUAAAUAUAAAUAAAUUAUUGUAAGUCAGAUAAGAGAGAUGGAAACCCCAGUAGGAAAAACCCAUUAAAGUAACUAAAAUGUGGACAAA
This 1163-nucleotide long non-coding RNA is filed under the name Mus musculus (house mouse). RNAcentral's name for it is "Egfr long non-coding downstream RNA". Lineage: Eukaryota; Metazoa; Chordata; Mammalia; Rodentia; Muridae. The record is from RNAcentral.